AUCAGUGCCAUCCACAUGUAGUAGAUUUCGAAAGAAAUUUCCUUUAAAGUCGAAAUAAAUUCAUCGUAUCUUUCACGAGCGAUCUUCGUCGUGGAUCACUAAUUUAAAAAUAGUGAUUAAACUAACUUUCUCUUGAUCUCGAUCGAUGACACUCUUCAAAUACGUAAUAUAAUAUAAGAAGGGAUGGAUAAAUGAAGAAAGAUAGAAAUCUUUUAGACGUUUUUUUGCUAAAAAAGAAGCUUAAUCAGCUCGAUUUUACGUCACGUUCUUUCACUGGGUAUAAGUAGAAAUUGUAAAAGAUCUAUAUGGAUCGUGGAACAGAGGCUGAGAAAUAUUUAACGUUCUCCUUGAUGUCCGAGCUUCGAGUAUGACCGAGAGGAAAUUACCACACACACUAGAGCUUUUUUCUCAACGAGUACUGUGACGAUACCAUAACACGACUUUACAUCGGUACAAAUAGAGGUCGUCGUAAACCACUUUGCGUCGUAGUCAUGGACACCGCGCAAGCGCUUGUAAGCUCUCUCAUCGUAUUCACCCUACCCUUUUGUAGGGUACAUAUGUGUACAUGCAUACAUACGUACUCUAUAUAUGCUUACGUUAAUGGACGAGCUUUCGGAGAGUUUGUAUGUAUUUGAGCAUCCCCAUUCUAAACUAUAGUUAGGCAUGCGUGAGUGUACAAGUUCAAUGUCAAGUUCUCCCUGCUGUCGGCAUGCGACUAUUCUGGAACAAAGCUUACUGCGAAAGUCUAGAGAUCUAUUAUAACUGUCUAGAAUAACAAAGAAGGAGGAUGAAGACACCCUUUAUUAGAACGGAUAAAAUAUUCAAUAAUGGAUAACGUACCUUGAAACAUUUAGCUGUUCGAUAUCGAUUGUUCGUAAGGAUAUCGAAAGCUAUUUAUGAAUAUAUGAAUAUAUAUAUAUAUAUUUUAGAUCUUCAAAAGAAAUUUCUUUCAUCAUUUGAUAUGACCAAAUAAUAAAGCAUAUAUAUGGAAUUGUAAUGAAUUCGUUCAUUGUGAAUCGAUUCGAAGUAAAUGUUUAAAAAAUUCGUCGAAGUAAUCAGAGUACAGAUAUAACUAUAUAUAUGGUAAGGCCAUAUAACAACCGAUGGUCGCCAUAUUCUAUUAACAUAUAUUGACGAUUCUUAAGAAGCUGAUGACCUUAAUAAUGACCCUGAUAAAUGCUAACUUUCUUGAUUCUUAGCCGAUGGAUGGGAUACCAAUGGCGCUGACAAUGAUAACCACGUAUAUCGGCGGAAUGUCUCUAAGGUUAAAUUAUUUAAAACUGUAAUUCGCCUACAGCUGUCUUUGUCCCAUAUAUCUAUGCAUAAUUCUUACUUGACGAGCUAAGUCGACAGUAACGUUGUUCUCAAUGACGCUAUUUCUUUUUAUUCAUCAUCACGAAUUCGUUUUUGAUAGGUAAAAGGCUGAUUGGUUUAUCAGAGAUAUUACUGGUACCUCAUUAUCUAUAUAAUAAUUCAUUUUAAAAUGUUUAGAAAUCAUAUAGCUGAUAACAAAUAUCUAAUUUCUCUUUCUGUUUUUAAGAUAUCUCUUUUUAGUUUUUAUAUAACAAUUGACAUCUUCAUUAUUAAGAGAUAUGCAAUGCAUUUGUUAAUAUUCUGUAUGUAAAAAAUUCGUAGAAAGGAUAAAAAUUUUUUUUUAAUCGAUCAAACUAUUAUAGAUCAACUAUUAUGAAUCAUGUUAAACAUAAGACCGAUUCGUAAUGCGUACUAAAAAGCGUAAUCAUUUACUAGAAAUGAAAGAAAGUUCUGUGAUUAUAUCCAACAAGUAUUGCGAAUUGUUAAAAAGGUCAAAGAUGAAACAAAAAAUCUAUUAACCCGUCCUCGGUAUCAUGACGUAUGUAAUUUCCAUGAAAAUAUUUCGUGGUGUAUGGUUAGGUUUAUAAAAAUUAUAGAUUGUUUCAAUAGAAAAAUAUACGAAUAUGUUUUGGUUAUGCUAUAAGAUAUUACUGGUAUACUGUUUAAUAAAAAAAUCUUAUUUUUAAAAUAAAUAUAAAGAAAAACAGCAAUAAUUAAAAUCAAUAAUUAAGAAAUUUUCGCUUUAUAAGAAAACCAUUUUGUUUACACGAUCAGGUACUGACAAUUCUAAGAUUUUCAUCAACCAAUAAUUAUAUUAACGAUUUUUCUAUAUUCAAAUAAAAAAAUCUUUUCACUUUCUAAAUCGACGUGAUCCUUAGUGAAAGAUAAUAGUGUAUUCAUUCUUAAGAAUAAAAAAAGAAUCACAGUUCGAUAAAAAUAGUUUCUUCAUAAAAUAUUUCAUAUCGUGGAAGAGUUCUCACAUUUUUUGCGACUUCUGUAGUCUUUCCUUACUAUAUUUGCGAAUAUACAUAUGCUCUUUCUCUUCUUACUUUUUUCUUUCUUUUUUCUUUUUUUUUUCUUUUUUUUUUUAUAUGACAAAAUAAUACAAUGAUAAAAUUUCACUAAAACGCUUAAACGAAUGUCAUCUGCUGUUGUAUAUUGUAAAAAGAAUCAUCAUUGUCUCCGAAAGUGGUGAGAAAGCAUGUGAAAGGAUUGUUAUUAGAUCUAUCGUUAUUUCUAUCAUUACUGGUUAUCCAAUAAGCUUUUAUAUGAGCCGUUUGCGAUUUAUGUUUCACGAUUAGCUUCACAUCAGGAUUUCGUUUACGCCACUGUAUCAACGAUAUACAAUGAA
Molecule: long non-coding RNA, 2665 nt
Organism: Vespa velutina
Lineage: Eukaryota; Metazoa; Arthropoda; Insecta; Hymenoptera; Vespidae
Exons: 4
Source: RefSeq, a predicted model, not a curated record